GGGAGGUGGAACCGGGCCGAUCCCAACACGGUGUUGAGGGUGCUGUGCCACCGGGACGACGAGAUGGCCAACGAGUUCCUGAAGCGAACGUUUCAGCUGGCCAAGCGGCGGUGAAAGAACAUCACAGGUGAUGGCCUGCGCAGUUUGUAUCAUACGUUAACAGUGGCUGCUAUGGUUUCUGUGAGCAUGUCUUUUUCCUUUUUCUUCUUUUCUAUGUUUGAAUGAACUAAACAGUACUCAUUUACAAAGUUAAUACUAGAAAUCAAAAGUAUAAAAAGCGUAGUGAUUCAUGGCAACCUAACCAUCUUCAGUCUUUCAUAUUUCUUUAGGUAGAUCUUUCAGCUCUUAGAACUUCUCCCAGCUUUCAGGUCUACGUAUCUUUAGUCCUUCAUGUUUCUUUUGGUUUUGGCUUCUGUAAUCUUAUUUCUUAGAGAUGUCUUGUGGAUUUGAUGUCCUAAUCUAAAUCUGCACCCAACCUUUUAGGUCUACAUAUCUUCAGUCUUUCAUCAGUCAGCUGCUACUAAUAAUUUGUGCCAAUUCUUCUGUUACCCCAAAACAUAAUGCAAGUCAGCUUAUAUUUUAGUGCUGGAGUUUUGCAUGAGCCAAUGAACAAAAAAGAUUACCAAACAAGUAAUGUAGAUGGUCAUAAACCAGUAAAUCUAUAUUCCAGUGAGAUGCCUGCUUGAUGAGUGGAAAGAACUGCAGAUAACACUACAAAACAAGCAUCUGAAGUGCUCAUAAAAGAGGACAGCAAUGUAGUAAAGAAAAAGAACUAUAACCCACUUAGCAUGAUUGAUUGACACAUAACUACAUCUCAAGCAAUUGUGUGGAAGGAAAUACUUUAAUAAAAUGACUGCAAAGACCCUACUAGGUUUUGUUCAUUUUUCCAUAGCCAAGUAUUUCAUACUUCAUAAUGUUUGAUAAUGUGUAUCACAUUUUCUCAUCAUGGUCAUGGUUCGUAACAAGGUUCCGAAAAGGGUUGACAGUGGGUUCAAGAUGACUAUCAAUAGAAAGUUCAACAGCAAGUUCAAGCUAUCAUUCCUCUCUCUCUUUUCUUUGUCAACAGCAAGUUCUUCUUGUCCUCCUCUUUUCCUUCUCUCCCUCAUUCUCUUUGGUUCUUGCCGGGCGCAUGUUCUUCAGGCUGUUGACAGCAGGUUCUUAUCUCCCUCUCCUGUAUCAACAGCAGCUCCUCCUCCACUCUUCUCUCCUUCUCUUUGGUCCAUGCCAGCCGACAUGCCUCGCAAACUGAGACUCAUACCGGUUCGGCCAGGGAUUGGAAUGGUUUCUGGACCGGCAUAAGUUGUUUACAUUAUUUGACGGACAAGAAAGAAAUUAAGAUUAGUUGUUCAUGGCUACAAAGAGAAACAUGACCACAUGAUUACUAUCAAACUUUGUAUGAGGUCAAUGCAUAACAACUCAUGAACAGAUCAGACAAUUUAGGUGAAUGCAUGAUCUGAGAAGGUUAAGGUAAUCGGACAUAACAAGUGUACAAUGAUGGAGAACCAAACAAGAAGAAUACCAAACCAUAGAUCCCAACUAAUUAGGGUUGUCUGAUGAAUGGACUAUUUCAGCCAUUGACCUCAAUGCUAGGCAAAAUCACUAGUCAAACUACGAGCAGUAUAAUUUUGUUUGAUAAAUUCUUAGAUCUUCUUCGUUGCACCGGCAAUUUCAUCAGACUUAGCUUGCAUAGCUGGUACAUUUAGGUAUGGAUGAUUUGAUUUCAAAUACUUCUUUCCAAGACUACAAAUUUUCAUCUUGAAGUGAAGUGUCCAUCUACAGUUGUAAAAUCAAUAUCUCCAAAUUGCGCCAAUCAAGAAGCAGAGUUAGAAUAUUUACCAAUCAAGAAGCAUAAUUAGAUCUACUUAAUGUACACAAGUAUUCUAUGAAAAGUAUUGAGGUGGACCAGAGCACAAAAAGGGUAGCUUCAGUGGAAACCUAAGGGAGUCAAGCAAAAUUCAUCUUUUUUCUCGUGCAAUCGAUUUCCUCCAACCAAGACAUUGAUUCUUCCAAUUUCAAAGGUUUUCAGUAGCAUAAAGGAUCUUCCAUACCCUUUUUCUUGUAACUAUCAUCACGACCGUGUGGAUUAGCAUCAGCCACCAAAAACCCCAACCCUAAACUGAAGUGGGAUUUUUAGUCCUUAGCUGAAGGAGGAGGAGUUCAUAUCCACAUCCCACUUCUUCGGAAACACCCUAAGAUCCUCAAUCCAUUGUUCCACAUCUUUGCUACGCAAAAGCCUGAGAAAAUUACUAAUCAAGAACGUAACUUCCCAAUCCUAAUGCCAGAAUCAAUCACGAGACAGACAAAGAUAGAAUUUCUAGAACUUUAUCGGUCCAAAUUAGGAGAGAAGAAUAGUAUGACAAUCAAGAUGGAAAUAAAGUAACCAUGAAAGAUCCAUUGUAACCAACCAAUGCCAAUCAAAUGGAACCAAAACGAGAGAAAACUCCGUAGUUUUCACUAUUCUCGACCGAAGAGGUAAGAACUUGGAAAAGGUUUCCCAAUCGCUAGCGAAACAAUCAAAUGAAGAAUGAAAAAACAACGCAAAGAACGAAUCGAACGAUCAAAUUGGAUCGGUUUCUCAAAAUUCUUACCGGGACGAUUGAGGACCAACGUCGAUCACAGGGGACGGACGAUACGAAGAAGGCUUCUGGCAGGCAGAAGCCGAGCAAGAGGGAGAAAAGGGGAGGAGUAAUCUUUGAUCGACCGACAAUUUCUUUUUCUUUUUUCUUUUUUAAACUAUUGAUGCGAAAUGAUAUAACAUUUGUAUAAAUAAAAUGUAAUAAAAUUUAUGAUCAGAUGAUUUGUUGUUGUUAUGAUAUUGAUUGGAAUAUUGAAUGUGAUUAUCUAUUUAUCAGCAUUAUAUCUGCUAUAUUUUAUAGACACAAUAACUAAACUAGUGUUCAAGCUGGCCAUAGCACUUGUUUUAUCAUCUCAAUUUAUUAGCUGGUCUUAUUUCUUUCUACUUCGUGUUCAUUGGUAUGCCGAUUGCUGCAUGAGCAGUGAGUGGCUCAAACUCUAAUCACACACUGCGGAGAAUGAUCUGCGCAUAGAUGGAAGAGAAGCAUCGGACAAAGCUCUAUCGAGAAGGUGUAGCUACGAGUUGAGUCUCAUCACCAUCAGGUUUGCGAGCGAGGUACAUGGCAAUUUAGUUGCAAGAGAAGAAGACGGUGGGAGAUCUAAGAAAGGGAAGCGUCAUCAAAAUUCUGGGAGUAGCUCUCUCCGUGUCAUAUCCUCCGAAUCGAGCUCGCCUCGGCUUCGAGGCUUGUUGCCUCCACUGCUGCUCUGCAUUAGCUUCCACAGGAAUUGUCUAAUUGGCAUAGACUGAUGGGCCUCUGUAAGCCUCGUUCUACUCUCUUCUGCAGCCAAUCUCUUCGCCCAGUUCAGUGCAUGCAUCCUUCUCUUUCCCUUGGUUCUUAGGAGAAUCAUCUUUAGCCUAUUCUCUUGAAGCCUCGGUUCACGAUCGUCUAUGUUGCACACUGCAAUCUGAUGCUUGUUUAUACUGCUAAUUCCAGAGCGCGUUGGAGACCAGACAGAUGCACAAGAGGCAUCCGCAACGGUGAGUGGACCACAUUGGUCCUCUUUCCUUGUCCUCUCAACAUCAAUCCAAGUUAAGUGG
RNAcentral lists this long non-coding RNA (3613 nucleotides) under Musa acuminata (dwarf banana). RNAcentral describes it as "long non-coding RNA (MACU_LNC002230)". The record is from RNAcentral. Lineage: Eukaryota; Viridiplantae; Streptophyta; Magnoliopsida; Zingiberales; Musaceae.